GACGGAGGAUGCAAGUGUUAUCCGGAAUCACUGGGCGUAAAGCGUCUGUAGGUGGUUUAAUAAGUCAACUGUUAAAUCUUGAGGCUCAACUUCAAAAUCGCAGUCGAAACUAUUAGACUAGAGUAUAGUAGGGGUAAAGGGAAUUUCCAGUGGAGCGGUGAAAUUCGUAGAGAUUGGAAAGAACACCAAUGGCGAAAGCACUUUACUGGGCUAUCACUGACACUGAGAGACGAAAGCUAGGGUAGCAAAUGGG
Molecule: ribosomal RNA, 253 nt
Filed under: uncultured bacterium
Lineage: Bacteria
Description: partial 16S ribosomal RNA
Rfam family: Bacterial small subunit ribosomal RNA
Source: RNAcentral